CCCACCUUUGUUUCUUGAGCACGAAAUGUACCAAGUACCAGCCGCAACCCAAUUAGUCCAGAGGUGGUUUCAGGCCUUGUCGAAAGCAUGUACAGCCUCUGUAAGAGCGUUGCAACAGCAGCAGAAAUAGACAAACCAGCACCGUAGAAUCGGGCCAACACUACAUCAGGGUCAGAGGGUGUGGUUGUCAACUAACUUGGGAGUCUCAAGAACUGGUACCCUUAUUCAUUCGUCCUUUUUAAGAUCCUUAGGAGGAUUAAUCCUACCGACUGCUUCCACCCAGGUCUAUGCACCCCCCACCCACCCUCACUUCACAUUUCACAUUUCACCUUUAAAGCCUUUUGUCUACUCUCCAAUACCUAGUGGACUGAGUCCAAUAACUAUUGGAGGAUUAUAGUCCAGAGGAGCGGUCCUGGGUGCCAACUGGAGACAUCUUGAAUCCAAACCUUAUCAGAGAAUUAACCAAUGGAAUAUCAGGAGCUAUCAUGCAGAUGCCCCGUCUGCCAUUGUGCAUGCCUCACUGUCCCCUUCCUUUCAUCUGUGUGCAUAAUGGAUGUCCAUCUGUGAGACACUUAUAAACAGAAGAAGGAGAUGCAGAUGUUAGCAGGACAAUGCAGAUGGCACACAUCACUCUCGCCAUCGUCGCAUAUCUGCCCUGCUGGCCCGCAGGCUGACCACAUCAGAUCAAAAACAGCAUCUCUUUUUAGGGGCCAGAGAGCAGCAGAGAGCAUCUGUGGGAAGCAAAUUGUUAUUCACAUCCACAUGUUUGUUGAGAAAUUGUUUGCAUGAUUUGAUGUACUUUGAAAAGGUCGGUGUAGAUACUGCUCACAGCAAAUAUAAAGUCAGGAUACUGACAGGCACGUUUACAGUGAUUUUAACAAAUAGAUGUAUUUACCUUACAAAUGACUUCACAUCUGAUGGAUAUGUGAAGAUAUUUGCAGGAAAACUCAUUGGAUUUAACUGAAUUUCUACAUAAAUUGGUCACAAAAACAGACAAACACAGUCUGCUUAACCACUUAAAAUGUACUGGAACCCAUUUGUGAUGGAUAAUAGCAUUUCCCCAGCAGCGUACUGUCACACAUUUGUGCUUUGAGAACAGUUUCACAUCACCAUCAAACUGAAAAUUCAAUUGGCUUUCACGUCGACCCAGAGAGGCAAUGUUCCAGAGAGAAUGAAAGACCAUCUGUCUGCCAACUGAAGCUCAGCAGAAGUUGGGUGAUGCAACAGGACAACAUCCCAAAGCACAGUGAACCAGAAUCGUUUGGAGAGGCCCAGUCACGUCUUGAUGCUUGGCUUGAGCUCAAGAGAGAACUUCACACCAGAUAUCCCAAGAAUGUUGCUGAAAUUAAACUGUAUCGUAAAAAGGUGCAAAAACUUCCACUAUUUGUGGAGGUUAUUACUGCCAAAGGGGGUUUAACAAUUAUUAAAUCCAAGGUCUUUUCAUGCUGAACUGUGAAUGUUUAAAUAUAGUGUGUUCAAUAAAGGCAGGAAGCAUUA
This is a long non-coding RNA of Carassius auratus (goldfish), 1497 nucleotides long. RefSeq lists it as uncharacterized. The record is from RefSeq and is a predicted model, not a curated record. The transcript is spliced from 3 exons. Lineage: Eukaryota; Metazoa; Chordata; Actinopteri; Cypriniformes; Cyprinidae.